UCGACUGUAACACCAGUGUUGCGCUAUUGUAUAAUAUGUUAUAUACGUUAUGUUAUUCUAGGGAAAUUGUAUUUUCAUAGCUAGGGCUGACAGUGAAGACUUGCGAAGAGCAGAAUCACAACCUCUGCAUCAUCAAAACAGUUGCUUGAAUAAGGAAGACCUGAGACUCAGAAGUGGUUCCUUACAAAAUGACUCAUCACAUUAUGAAAUGUGUGUAUGUGUGUGCACACACGCACACAAACACACGUGUGAAGUACUCGAUCAGAGAAGUGUCAGCCUGGCAGCUUCACUAUACUACUAGAGAUGUCUGGAACAACAGCAAACAAACUAUGCCAUACCAGCUACUAGCAGUGAGUAGCACAACUCCAGCGGGCUGAAUUGGGUGCAAAUGAUCUCCUUACAACCAGAUGAUGUCAUUGUAUCGGUGUCGUUUAUUUCUCCCAGUGUAUUUAUCAUUUAUUAUUUAUGCCUGCCUUGACCUCGAGCCUGCCUGCCUUAACCUCGAGCCUGCCUGCCUUAACCUCGAGCCUGCCUGCCUUGACCUCGAGCCUGCCUGCCUUGACCUCGAGCCUGCCUGCCCGCCCUUUGACUAGAUAAGAGGGGCCAGCCUGCUUCAAGGUGACGCAACAAAAAUCGAAUGAACUUAUCCUCUGCAGCAGAGGUAACUCUGAGUUUUCCUUUCCUGUGGCGGUCCUCAUGAGAGCCAGUUUCAUCAUAGCGCUUAAUGGUUUUUGCGACUGCACUUGAAGAAACUUUCAAAGUUCUUGAACAUUUC
Oncorhynchus mykiss (rainbow trout) is the source of this 775-nucleotide non-coding RNA. The record is from RefSeq and is a predicted model, not a curated record. NCBI's taxonomy places the organism in Eukaryota, Metazoa, Chordata, Actinopteri, Salmoniformes, Salmonidae.